CCUACGGGAGGCAGCAGUGAGGAAUAUUGGUCAAUGGACGAGAGUCUGAACCAGCCAAGUAGCGUGAAGGAUGACUGCCCUAUGGGUUGUAAACUUCUUUUAUAUGGGAAUAAAAUGUUCCACGUGUGGGAUUUUGUAUGUACCAUAUGAAUAAGGAUCGGCUAACUCCGUGUCAGCAGCCGCGGUAAUACGGAGGCUCCGAUCGUUAGCCGGGUUUAUUGGGUUUAAAGGGAGCGUAGGUGGAUUGUUAAGUCAGUUGGGAAAGUUUGCGGCUCAACCGUAAGAUUGCAAUUGAUACUGGCAGUCUUGAGUACAGUAGAGGUAGGCGGAAUUCGUGGUGUAGCGGUGAAAUGCUUAGAUAUCACGAAGAACUCCGAUUGCGAAGGCAGCUUACUAAACUGCCACUGACAUUGAUGCUCGAAAGUGUGGGUAGCAAACAGGAUUAGAUACCCUGGUAGUC
RNAcentral lists this ribosomal RNA (460 nucleotides) under uncultured bacterium. Its description in RNAcentral is "partial 16S ribosomal RNA". It matches the Rfam family "Bacterial small subunit ribosomal RNA", at positions 338 to 795 of the family's 1533-position model. The record is from RNAcentral.